UAACAGCCCUGGGGGUGUUGCCUUAGAUAGGGCGGCUGAGAUAUACCCCAAGACCUGAUCCGGAUAAUGCCGGCGUAGGGAAGGGGAAUUAUGUAGAU
This 98-nucleotide non-coding RNA is filed under the name Denitrovibrio acetiphilus. Its description in RNAcentral is "TPP sequence". It matches the Rfam family "TPP riboswitch aptamer (THI element)". From Rfam's summary of the family: Vitamin B(1) in its active form thiamin pyrophosphate (TPP) is an essential coenzyme that is synthesised by coupling of pyrimidine and thiazole moieties in bacteria. The previously detected thiamin-regulatory element, thi box was extended, resulting in a new, highly conserved RNA secondary structure, the THI element, which is widely distributed in eubacteria and also occurs in some archaea. The record is from RNAcentral. RNAcentral also lists the same sequence under 1 other name. Lineage: Bacteria; Pseudomonadati; Deferribacterota; Deferribacteres; Deferribacterales; Geovibrionaceae.